This 169-nucleotide ribosomal RNA is filed under the name uncultured bacterium. RNAcentral describes it as "partial 16S ribosomal RNA". It matches the Rfam family "Bacterial small subunit ribosomal RNA", at positions 118 to 287 of the family's 1533-position model. The record is from RNAcentral.
UGAGCAAUCUGCCCUUCUCAUCGGAAUAAGCGUUGGAAACGACGUCUAAUGCCGAAUACGACCUCCUUUCACAUGAUCGGAGGUGGAAAGCUCCGGCGGAGAAGGAUGAGCUCGCGGCCUAUCAGCUAGUUGGUGUGGGUAACGGCCCACCAAGGCGACGACGGGUACG